GCAGUGGUAGUUCCGUGGUAGGAUUCUCGCCUUCCAUGUGGGAGACCCAGGUUCCAUUCCCAGCCAGUGUA
Molecule: transfer RNA, 71 nt
Filed under: Loxodonta africana (African savanna elephant)
Lineage: Eukaryota; Metazoa; Chordata; Mammalia; Proboscidea; Elephantidae
Rfam family: tRNA
About the family: Transfer RNA (tRNA) molecules are approximately 80 nucleotides in length. Their secondary structure includes four short double-helical elements and three loops (D, anti-codon, and T loops).
Source: Rfam by way of RNAcentral